Molecule: ribosomal RNA, 1403 nt
Filed under: Salmonella enterica subsp. enterica serovar Enteritidis
Lineage: Bacteria; Pseudomonadati; Pseudomonadota; Gammaproteobacteria; Enterobacterales; Enterobacteriaceae
Description: partial 23S ribosomal RNA
Rfam family: Bacterial large subunit ribosomal RNA
Source: RNAcentral
UCGAUGGGAAACGGGUUAAUAUUCCCGUACUUGGUGUUACUGCGAAGGGGGGACGGAGAAGGCUAUGUUGGCCGGGCGACGGUUGUCCCGGUUUAAGCGUGUAGGCUGGUUUUCCAGGCAAAUCCGGAAAAUCAAGGCUGAGGCGUGAUGACGAGGCACUACGGUGCUGAAGCAACAAAUGCCCUGCUUCCAGGAAAAGCCUCUAAGCAUCAGGUAACAUCAAAUCGUACCCCAAACCGACACAGGUGGUCAGGUAGAGAAUACCAAGGCGCUUGAGAGAACUCGGGUGAAGGAACUAGGCAAAAUGGUGCCGUAACUUCGGGAGAAGGCACGCUGACACGUAGGUGAAGUGAUUUACUCAUGGAGCUGAAGUCAGUCGAAGAUACCAGCUGGCUGCAACUGUUUAUUAAAAACACAGCACUGUGCAAACACGAAAGUGGACGUAUACGGUGUGACGCCUGCCCGGUGCCGGAAGGUUAAUUGAUGGGGUCAGCGCAAGCGAAGCUCCUGAUCGAAGCCCCGGUAAACGGCGGCCGUAACUAUAACGGUCCUAAGGUAGCGAAAUUCCUUGUCGGGUAAGUUCCGACCUGCACGAAUGGCGUAAUGAUGGCCAGGCUGUCUCCACCCGAGACUCAGUGAAAUUGAACUCGCUGUGAAGAUGCAGUGUACCCGCGGCAAGACGGAAAGACCCCGUGAACCUUUACUAUAGCUUGACACUGAACAUUGAGCCUUGAUGUGUAGGAUAGGUGGGAGGCUUUGAAGUGUGGACGCCAGUCUGCAUGGAGCCGACCUUGAAAUACCACCCUUUAAUGUUUGAUGUUCUAACGUGGACCCGUUACCCGGGUUGCGGACAGUGUCUGGUGGGUAGUUUGACUGGGGCGGUCUCCUCCUAAAGAGUAACGGAGGAGCACGAAGGUUGGCUAAUCCUGGUCGGACAUCAGGAGGUUAGUGCAAUGGCAUAAGCCAGCUUGACUGCGAGCGUGACGGCGCGAGCAGGUGCGAAAGCAGGUCAUAGUGAUCCGGUGGUUCUGAAUGGAAGGGCCAUCGCUCAACGGAUAAAAGGUACUCCGGGGAUAACAGGCUGAUACCGCCCAAGAGUUCAUAUCGACGGCGGUGUUUGGCACCUCGAUGUCGGCUCAUCACAUCCUGGGGCUGAAGUAGGUCCCAAGGGUAUGGCUGUUCGCCAUUUAAAGUGGUACGCGAGCUGGGUUUAGAACGUCGUGAGACAGUUCGGUCCCUAUCUGCCGUGGGCGCUGGAGAACUGAGGGGGGCUGCUCCUAGUACGAGAGGACCGGAGUGGACGCAUCACUGGUGUUCGGGUUGUCAUGCCAAUGGCACUGCCCGGUAGCUAAAUGCGGAAGAGAUAAGUGCUGAAAGCAUCUAAGCACGAAACUUGCCCCGAG